This 981-nucleotide ribosomal RNA is filed under the name uncultured soil bacterium. Its description in RNAcentral is "bacterial SSU rRNA". It matches the Rfam family "Bacterial small subunit ribosomal RNA", at positions 336 to 1322 of the family's 1533-position model. The record is from RNAcentral.
UUCCUACGGGAGGCAGCAGUAGGGAUUUAUUCUAUGGGUGCGAGCCUGAUCCAGCCAUGCCGUACUGGGAAGACGGCCUUCUGGGUUGUAAACUGCUUUUAUCUGGGGAUAAAAAGCCCGUGCGCGGGCAAUUGAAGUUUACCAGAUGAAUAAGCCACGGCUAACUACGUGCCAGCAGCCGCGGUAAUACGUAGGUGGCAAGCGUUGUCCGGAUUUAUUGGGUUUAAAGGGUGCGUAGGCGGUCUGUUAAGUCAGUGGUGAAAUACUUCAGCUCAACUGGAGAGGUGCCAUUGAUACUGGCGGACUUGAGUACUGAUGAGGUAGGCGGAAUGGACGGUGUAGCGGUGAAAUGCUUAGAUAUCGUCCAGAACACCGAUAGCGAAGGCAGCUUACUAAGGAGUAACUGACGCUGAUGCACGAAAGUGUGGGGAUCAAACAGGAUUAGAUACCCUGGUAGUCCACACUGUAAACGUUGAUCACUCGAUGUUGGCGAUACACAGCCCGCGUCUUAGCGAAAGCGAUAAGUGAUCCACCUGGGGAGUACGCCGGCAGCGGUGAAACUCAAAGGAAUUGACGGGGGCCCGCACAAGCGGUGGAGCAUGUGGUUUAAUUCGAUGAUACGCGAGGAACCUUACCUGGGGCUAGAAUGCCCUUGACCGAUCCAGAGACGGAUCUUUCAGCAAUGACAAGGAGCAAGGUGCUGCAUGGCUGUCGUCAGCUCGUGCCGUGAGGUGUUGGGUUAAGUCCCGCAACGAGCGCAACCCUUAUCUUUAGUUGCCAGCACGUAAUGGUGGGGACUCUAGAGAGACUGCCUGCGCAAGCAGAGAGGAAGGAGGAGAUGACGUCAAGUCAUCAUGGCCCUUACGCCACAGGGCUUCACACGUGCUACAAUGGCGUCUACAAAGUGUUGCAAGCCAGCGAUGGUGAGCCAAUCACAUGUAGCGUCUCAGUUCGGAUUGCAGGCUGCAUCGAAUAAACAAU